Molecule: ribosomal RNA, 253 nt
Filed under: uncultured bacterium
Lineage: Bacteria
Description: partial 16S ribosomal RNA
Rfam family: Archaeal small subunit ribosomal RNA
Source: RNAcentral
UACCAGCACCCCGAGUGGUCGGGACGAUUAUUGGGCCUAAAGCAUCCGUAGCCGGUUCUACAAGUCUUCCGUUAAAUCCACCUGCUUAACAGAUGGGCUGCGGAGGAUACUAUAGAGCUAGGAGGCGGGAGAGGCAAGCGGUACUUAGUGGGUAGGGGUAAAAUCCGUUGAUCCAUUGUAGACCACCAGUGGCGAAGGCGGCUUGCCAGAACGCACUCGACGGUGAGGGAUGAAAGCUGGGGGAGCAAACCGG